AGCCAUGUGCCUUCUGAGCUAACAGAGGUUUCCUGAAUGCCAAUGGCCAUCCUUCAGUGAAGAAAUCAAAGUUAGCUUUUUUCAACUUGGCAAGAAUAAAUUUUCAAGGGACUUUGAAGUCCAGGUAAGUUUAAUACCAUCAUGACAUUGUGUAAUGGGCAUGAAAAAGACAGUAAUAAAAUUUAUUUCAAUUACUUGUAACUUA
Long non-coding RNA from Choloepus didactylus (southern two-toed sloth), 205 nucleotides. RefSeq lists it as uncharacterized. The record is from RefSeq and is a predicted model, not a curated record. The transcript is spliced from 2 exons. NCBI's taxonomy places the organism in Eukaryota, Metazoa, Chordata, Mammalia, Pilosa, Megalonychidae.